RNAcentral lists this unclassified non-coding RNA (378 nucleotides) under plant metagenome. Its description in RNAcentral is "partial contains 5.8S ribosomal RNA, internal transcribed spacer 2, and large subunit ribosomal RNA". The stretch from base 1 to 105 matches the Rfam family "5.8S ribosomal RNA", at positions 50 to 154 of the family's 154-position model. The record is from RNAcentral.
GAAAUGUGAUAAGUAAUGUGAAUUGCAGAAUUCAGUGAAUCAUCGAAUCUUUGAACGCACCUUGCGCUCCUUGGUAUUCCUUGGAGCAUGCCUGUUUGAGUAUCAUGAAAUCUUCAAAGUAAAUCUUUUGUUAACUCAAUUGGUUUCUACUUUGGUAUUGGAGGUCUUUGCAGCUUCACACCUGCUCCUCUUUGUUCAUUAGCUGGAUCUCAGUGUUAUGCUUGGUUCCACUCGGCGUGAUAAGUUAUCUAUCGCUGAGGACACUGUAAAAGGUGGCCAAGGUAAAUGCAGAUGAACCGCUUCUAAUAGUCCAUUGACUUGGACAAUACUUUUAUGAUCUGAUCUCAAAUCAGGUAGGACUACCCGCUGAACUUAAAC